UUUCUUGUCCACAAAGGCAAAAAAGAUAAUAGAUAUACACAAAAAAGAGAGGCCCAUAGAAUAUUGAGGGGACUCCCUUCUUCCAUUUUUAUACAUACACAGCUUCUUCUCCAAAGGGGGCCCAGAAAAAAAAAACAUCAUCAUCAUCAUCGUCUUCAAGAAAAGAAGACGCCAUAUUUGCCUCACCAUUCACUGACCUCACAGAAAACACACAGAGAACACGCACCAUCGUAUUCUUCCACUGUACACGUACACACUCACCUCACCGUACGCACAUACACAGUAAUUAAAAAGCAGGAGAGAUGAGGUGAUUAGACAGAAUCAAGGGAGAGAGAGACGCCUUGAACAGAGGGAAGUCAGUCGACGCCUGAGUUUACCCGAUGAAUUUCUCGCCGGAAUCAGCCACCCUCCACCGGAAUACAACAGCUCAUCACCAAAAGUGUCAUCCCCGAUCGAAACCAACAAAACCGGUUGAACCCGAUUGUUAUGCGUCGAUUCUGGCGACAACUCGCCGGAAAUCGACAUAGUUCAGGGCCGACUUAGGGUUUUGACAUUAAGCUCCACCACCAUAAGAAGCUUAAAAAUAAAGCCGCUGAAUUCUCUUUUACUGUUCGAUCGUUGUUACGAUUUAGUGGAGUUUUAUGUCCUUGGUGGUGUGUCAUCUGUUCAUGUUUUCUUUUUGAGUUAUCGUGGUUUCUUUUCGAAUUUGAUUUCGGAGGAUUUUUGUGCUCGAAUUGGUUCAUAGUCGAGAUUUUGGUGUUCGUUGAGGUUCUCGGAGCGGCUCUCAUCUUUCUUUUCAAGUUAAUCGAAAGCUUUUGAGAUUUGAAGAUGCAUUCAUUCGCCUGGGAAUGCCUCGAGAUUAUAUUGUACUUAUUCACUGGGGAAUGCCCUGAAGUAUUAUGUAUGCAAAGAAGGCUCGUGAUCAAGGCCCGAGGCAUCGGGUAAGACAUUGGAGCAUAGUAUUAGGAUUAAUUUAGAAUAGGAUUUAUAUUUUUCGCAUUUUUCAUUUUGGACUGUAUAAUUGGACUGAACACUAUAUUUUGGACUUGUUUUGUUUUGUUUUGUUUGA
Molecule: long non-coding RNA, 1069 nt
Organism: Capsicum annuum
Lineage: Eukaryota; Viridiplantae; Streptophyta; Magnoliopsida; Solanales; Solanaceae
Exons: 2
Source: RefSeq, a predicted model, not a curated record